RNAcentral lists this ribosomal RNA (460 nucleotides) under uncultured bacterium. RNAcentral's name for it is "partial 16S ribosomal RNA". It matches the Rfam family "Bacterial small subunit ribosomal RNA", at positions 338 to 795 of the family's 1533-position model. The record is from RNAcentral.
CCUACGGGAGGCAGCAGUGAGGAAUAUUGGUCAAUGGACGCAAGUCUGAACCAGCCAUGCCGCGUGCAGGAAGACGGCUCUAUGAGUUGUAAACUGCUUUUGUACGAGGGUAAACGCAGAUACGCGUAUCUGUCUGAAAGUAUCGUACGAAUAAGGAUCGGCUAACUCCGUUCCAGCCGCCGCGGUAAUACGGAGGAUUCAAGCGUUAUCCGGAUUUAUUGGGUUUAAAGGGUGCGUAGGCGGUCGGAUAAGUUAGAGGUGAAAUCCCGAGGCUCAACGUCGGAAUUGCCUCUGAUACUGUUCGGCUAGAGAGUAGUUGCGGUAUGCGGAAUGUAUGGUGUAGCGGUGAAAUGCUUAGAGAUCAGACAGAACACCGAUUGCGAAGGCAGCUUACCAAGCUACUUCUGACGUUGAGGCACGAAAGCUUGGGGAGCAAACAGGAUUAGAUACCCUUGUAGUC